UUUAUUCAUGAGAGACGCAGGGAGAGAGAGGCAGAAACACAGUCAGAGGGAGAAGUAGGCUCCACACAGGGAGCCCGAUUCGGGACUCGAUUCCAGACCCAGGGAUCACACUCUGAGCCAAAGGCAGACGCUCAACCGCUGAGCCACCCAGGCGUCCCCUAGUUGCAUGAUCUUAAAUGACUUACUCAGCGUCCCCAAGAUCCCUUUUCCUGAUCUGGCAUAGAAAAAGAUUCAUUGGCCUUUCACAAGACUGUCGUGUUGCUUGGCACAGUGCCUAGUAUCUGGUUUCUGCUAAAUAAUAGAUACUGUUAUUAUAAUUUUAGUAAUAUUGUUAUUUACGUCGUUUCAUGCUCACUUGCCCUCCAGUGCAGGAGACCUUUAUUCCAGCUUUAUAACUGUCCUACUGUCCCCAGCUCUUCUGUGUUCCUCCCAGUCCUACAUACAGCUGGCAGAUGGACUUUGCUGUUUUUUUAAUGAGGCUAUAGUGCCCUUCUGGCAACUUUUUAAAUGGUCCUCCUACUUUUCUCCUUGCCUUAUACACUAUAUCCUUUUCUAUUGACUUUAAGAUUAAUAAAAAUGUGCGAACUUAUGACAUAUGCCAAUGAAGUGGCUUUCACAAAUGACUAGAAAGCACAUAUCCAUUUGUGCUGACAUGCCUGUGUCUUCUGACUCACAAGGCUGUGAUUUAAUGAUGGGUUCAUAUCCUAAAACUGGGGUGGCACUGAAAAUACAUGGCAUGACAACAUGUGCCACAUAGUACACUAGGAAUAGGCCAAUAAAUGUCACCAAGGAAAAAAAUAAGAACAGAAAAGCAUAUCGAUUCUCAGUAAGUGCUCAACAAAAAGCCAAAGUUCUUUACAUUUUUCAGGAGAAGAGUUCAAAGAAUGGGUUAAACUGAGCCAUGGCAUGAGAACUGGCAAUUCCUGCCAAACGGAAGUUCAAGAAACAAUGUUCAUUUCAAUGUCAAUUAAACAUUGACAUUAGUUAAAUGUCAGUGUGCCAGGCCACUGUGCCACCUAGCACCACUAGUGAUACAAAAAUGAUUUUCACUGCUUUGGUCACAAUGUGCCCUUCCACAGAAAACUUCAGACUGCCCCUACUGUCCACAAGGGCAACUCCAAACUGCUAGUUCAGUUUCCAAAGCCUUUUAGUAAGGAGGUCUCUAUUCACUACCCCUGAAUAUACCUUGGACUUUCUCACCUCAUGAUUUUGCUUACAGUCUUCUCUGUUCCAACUCUUCCAUUGAAAUCCUGCCGUUCAGGACAUUGCUUGAAUACUAGCCUCUUCAUGUCCACUACUGCUAUGAAGUCCCAAUGUCUUCUCCAGUCACAGCUAAUUUCUCAGCCCUAUGUAUUUCUGUAUCACUUCUGUUUAUUCCUCUCCUAUAGAAAUUACUAUAUUUUUCCCUAUAUUAAAAUGUUUUAAAUAUGUAGCUUUGGUUAAGUCACUCAUUCCCACUGAAAUGGAGAAUGGCCGUGAGAAGCAAACUCAAUGCUGGCAAAGGUGUUCAAAACAUACAUCAAAAACUAUCAACCACUAUACAAAGGUAAAGGAGUCUCAUUAUCCUAUUCAUGUCCUGUGAAGGAAUAUUUGGUUAGUUCCACAGAAUGAUCAUUCUUAGUUACACCACUUGGUUAAAGCAAGUCAACGAGACCUUAAAUGGCGGUUAACGCUGAAUUUUAUACUUUAAGUGGGUGAAUUUUAUGUUAUGUGGAUUAUAGCUCAAUAAAGCUGCUAUUUAGAAAAUAAUAGGUUAAAUCUCUGUAUAGAUGGGUCAGCAAGUUUACUGUGCCCCAUUACUGUGAGCACCAGAGCUCACUCUGACCAGUGAACCCAGACAUGCAUACGUCUUUCGUUCUAAGCCAGAAUAGACGAGUAAAUCAGCAAAAAUCCAUUCACACUGGAAGGAUCCUUUUUUUUUUUAAUAUUUUAUUUAUUUAUUCAUGACAGACACAGAGAGAGAGAGAGAAGCAGAGACACAGGCAGAGGGAGAAGCAGGCUCCAUGCAGGGAGCCCGAGGUGGGACUCGAUCCUGGGCCUCCAGGAUCACACGCCAGGCCCAAGGCUACACCAAACCGAUGGGCCACUGGGGCUGCCCUGGAAGGAUCCUUCUAUGUAGCAGGGUCCCCAGUAGAGAGCAAAGAAGGAAGUAGGCCAGCAGAUGGCUCAUACCUCCGUGAGGUGGGGAUGGAGUCUUUUGUGAAAUCUGACAACAGAUGACAACAGGUGUAAAUGAAAAACGAUGAAAGUGACUCGAAGAAUAGCAAAGCUCUCAAGGAUUUUAUAUGAGGAAAUUCAUGAGAUGCUGAGUUUUCUGAUGAACCAACAUUUACUAUGAAUUUUCUAGACCAAAGGCUAUUCCAAAAAGUGAAGGAAAAACUUGAAGCAUCUCCAUAAGCCAAGUGUCCUUUUUGUCACCUGUGACUUUAUACUUUCUUUCAGUGGUCUGCUGCUUUAUGAUGGUCAAAGAGCAGAGCUUGCCUAAAGCAAGUUAUAAGAGGUGUCAGCUUUGGGUUGGUACUCCUUACUUUCUUUUUCUCUUUUCACCUUUCUCUAGGUGCUGGACUAUUUACUCAUCUCUCAAAAGAGAACGCCCAACCUACUAAUCCAUUCCUCUUGGACUUCCUCUCCAGCAAAGCAUGCUACUUUGAGUGAUUCAGAGAGACUUAGUUACAUAGAUGUGUAAGUAAAUGGCUAAGAGAGGUGGAUCUAACAUGGUUCCUGGGAAAAAGAGCCAUAAGGCAAAGAGAUGAAUUUCUCAUCAUGGCAUUGGAGCCAUGCAGGAAAGGGGCAGGGUGAAGGCUCCCUCGACUUUCCCCACCCUGUACUCCAAGAAAAGCCAUAAAACUAUGGAGCAAUUGUUGCCUGCUUUGUCUCUUAGUAAUGUGUAAUACUUAUCAAAGACCCUCAUGUACCCUCAAGUUGCAAAGGAUGUCUACAUUUACAUUUUAAAUAUAAUUAUAUAUAGAGUAGAAAGAGAUGUCUUUUUGAUCUGGAAGUAGGACAAUAUAUUUUAGGCCCUCCCACACUCACAAUAAAUUGGCAG
Molecule: long non-coding RNA, 3046 nt
Filed under: Canis lupus familiaris (dog)
Lineage: Eukaryota; Metazoa; Chordata; Mammalia; Carnivora; Canidae
Description: lncRNA (ENSCAFG00000051517.1)
Source: RNAcentral